This 770-nucleotide long non-coding RNA is filed under the name Physcomitrium patens. RNAcentral's name for it is "long non-coding RNA (PPAT_LNC013474)". Lineage: Eukaryota; Viridiplantae; Streptophyta; Bryopsida; Funariales; Funariaceae. The record is from RNAcentral.
GGUCGUUGACGAAAAAUGGGGAGUGAUUUUCUUCACUGGAUAUCUAUAAUUAGACAAGUAAAUUCCUUCGCAUCGCUUAGUACAUGACAUGAUACAAAAGUACACACAUGUACCGCUGAAGGCUUUUGCUAUGAAGCCCAGUUUCGACUUGUCAAUGUACGACUUCAGAGGUGAGAAGACAGCCGAAUCCUUGAACGCGCAACAGACUUAUCAGCGACCUCUGUCGGUCCCAUUGCACGAGUCAAAGGGCAAAACUCUUACUGGUUGAGUGCUGUCCAGAUUUGAAACAAGGGCCUGGUAGUGGGCAAUUCUUAGAUGUGUAGAGUUUUGUAGAAAUCGACAUGAAGAACUAGUACACAUGCAGUUUUAGCAUUGUCAUCGAAGGAUCGAAGGAUUCGUGGAUGACAUGGAGGGUUCCGCACCGGAGUCUGAAACAGGAUGAGGAGUAAUGGGUGAAGAGGAAUGGUCUAAAUGAAGGCACAGUUACCCAUUAAUAGUCUCCAAAAUGACGGUGUUCACACACUAUUAGAAGAGGAAGCUAGAAAUCGUGCGCUGUAUCAGGCUUGACAGUAGGCCUCAGACAACGAUAGCAUCUCCGCUGGACUGGGAAACCCAACCGCUAACGACCCUGCACGACUUCCAAAGUAGGUGAACAAACCGACAACCAUAACAGAAAAGUAAGUUUUCCCAGUGUCGGUAAAAGUUAAUCUUUUUAUUAGUUGAUUUUAAAUGUAUUUUUUUUACAUAAAACUUGGCUUGACUGCAACUUC